UUUUUAGUGUAAGUCCCAUGCAAUAUUUGGAAAAUAUACUAAAA
RNAcentral lists this microRNA precursor (44 nucleotides) under Marmota monax (woodchuck). The record is from RNAcentral. Lineage: Eukaryota; Metazoa; Chordata; Mammalia; Rodentia; Sciuridae.